RNAcentral lists this ribosomal RNA (207 nucleotides) under uncultured bacterium. RNAcentral's name for it is "partial 16S ribosomal RNA". It matches the Rfam family "Bacterial small subunit ribosomal RNA", at positions 568 to 774 of the family's 1533-position model. The record is from RNAcentral.
CGCGUAGGUGGUUUGUUAAGUCAGAUGUGAAAGCCCCGGGCUUAACCUGGGAAUUGCAUUUGAUACUGGCAAGCUAGAGUAUGGUAGAGGGAAGUGGAAUUCCGGGUGUAGCGGUGAAAUGCGUAGAUAUCCGGAGGAACACCAGUGGCGAAGGCGGCUUCCUGGACCAAUACUGACACUGAGGCGCGAAAGCGUGGGGAGCAAACA